Small nucleolar RNA from Perognathus longimembris pacificus (Pacific pocket mouse), 66 nucleotides. RefSeq annotates it as small nucleolar RNA SNORD37. The transcript has a single exon. Lineage: Eukaryota; Metazoa; Chordata; Mammalia; Rodentia; Heteromyidae. The record is from RefSeq and is a predicted model, not a curated record.
GCAAAUGAUGACUUAAAAUUUCUUCACUUUGACCUGAUGUCUCUUGAAGAAAUAUAUUAUCUGAGC